Molecule: long non-coding RNA, 648 nt
Organism: Astatotilapia calliptera (eastern happy)
Lineage: Eukaryota; Metazoa; Chordata; Actinopteri; Cichliformes; Cichlidae
Source: Ensembl
CUUCCCUCUGAUGGCGGUCAAGUACGUGUCGGAGCGCAUGGAAAAAGUAUCUUGGCCCCGAACUCUGACCACAAAGGGAAUAACGUCUGUCAAGUUAUUUGUGUCUGAAAAUCCCGAUUGGUUUUUUUGAACUACUAGAAGGAUUCUGGAGAACCACUGACGGCGAGAACAGCCCAAAUGAGAUCCUGGAUGAUCGUGAAAUGGUGUGGCCAGCCAUGCGAUCGGAUUGUGGGAUUUGCCUGAGAAACUGAUUCAAGCAACCCUGGAUUACAGAUAAGCCCUAUGCACUACUUUUCCUACCCGGAUAAUAGGGUUUGCACACUGACAAUUCCCCUACAGUACACCUGUUUGGGUUUUCAACGACUUUAAAGGACAAUUCAGACUGGACAAUUCAAACUUCACAACAGGAACACUUUAAUCUGUUUCAUUCAUUCCCAAGAGCUCUGAUACUGUUCAGUAUAAAUCUUCCAUUUAAAUGUCUUUAUUUUGUUUUGUUUUACAUGUAUUCACCUUUAAAAUGCACUAUUAGUGUGCAAUUUGGGUUAUUGUGUUGUAUAUGUAUAUAAAUGGUACUGAGGCAAUAAAGGUCCCAGUUAUUCACUUCCAAGCCAACUCCUUUUGUGAGUCCCCAAAACAAAACCUCCUCCU